AGGCGAUCUCACUACUUAUACUUCUGCUAGCUGCUUGUCAAGUGAUCUCACUACUUAUACUUCUGCUAGCUGCUUGUCAAGUAUUCUCACUACAGAAACCUUUGAUAGCUGCUUGUCAGGCGAUCUCACUACUUAUACUUCUGCUAGCUGCUUGUCAAGUAUUCUCACUACAGAAACCUUUGAUAGCUGCUUGUCAGGUGAUCUCACUACUUAUACUUCUGCUAGCUGCUUGUCAAGCGAUCUCACUACUUAUACUUCUGCUAGCUGCUUUUCAAGUAUUCUCACUACAGAAACCUUUGAUAGCUGCUUGUCAGGCGAUCUCACUACUUAUACUUCUGCUUGAUGCUUGUCAGGCGAUCUCACUACUUAUACUUCAAAGCGAUCUCACUACAAAUGCCUCCAAUAUUUGCUUGUCCAGCGAUCUCAAUACAGAUGUCACUUCUAGAAGCUUGUCAAGCGAUCGCGCUACUUAUACCUCUGCUAGCUGCUUGAGAAGCGACCUCACUACUUAUGACUCUGCUAGCUGCUUGUCAAGCGAUCUCACUGCUUUUGUCUCAUUUAAUAUCUCAACCUUACUGAGAGAGAUAACAGUGUAAUGAUGUAUUGACCAGGAGAGUCAUGCAGAGAAUCGACUUUAUCAAAUCUGAUACAUUCCUCGAACUGAUAACUGACUGUGCCAGGCUGAUAAUCAGUCCAAGUAUCCCGCAGGAUGAUCUCAAAGUAUUGCAUAUCACAGUGACGGGGACCAUCUCAAAACUUGCAUCAAUGCAACCAUACUGGUAACAGUUUGUGCAGUUUUGAUGGAAAUAGAUUCAUCAUUGUCUCAGAUCACAUUGAUAAAUGUUUAUGCUGUAUUUUGCAGUAAAUUAUACCUGUUGCCAUGAAGAAAAUUCCAUAACAACAACACAACAGUCAUUGUAAACAUCCCUUUGUUCAGUCAGGUGCAGGUCCAUGGUUAAAAUGUAGUCAUAUGCUAAUGUAUGCUAAUGUAUGCUAAUUAACCCAAAAUUAUUAUUCUGAUUUGUGUCCUUCCAAAACUUUUGGUUUAUCGUAUUCGCCUGAUUAAAUGCUCUGGUACAAAAUACACCCUCUGACCAUCUUUUAGUUUUAUUAAACAGCAAACCACCACCCCCAUUGUAUAACUGCAUAUGAC
Molecule: long non-coding RNA, 1153 nt
Organism: Haliotis rubra (blacklip abalone)
Lineage: Eukaryota; Metazoa; Mollusca; Gastropoda; Lepetellida; Haliotidae
Exons: 3
Source: RefSeq, a predicted model, not a curated record